CAGUAGCCGCGGUAAUACGAAGGGUGCAAGCGUUAAUCGGAAUUACUGGGCGUAAAGCGUGCGUAGGCGGUUUGUUAAGUCUGUUGUGAAAUCCCCGGGCUCAACCUGGGAAUGGCAAUGGAUACUGGCAAGCUAGAGUGUGUCAGAGGAUGGUGGAAUUCCCGGUGUAGCGGUGAAAUGCGUAGAGAUCGGGAGGAACAUCAGUGGCGAAGGCGGCCAUCUGGGACAACACUGACGCUGAGGCACGAAAGCGUGGGGAGCAAACAGGAUUAGAUACCCCUGUAGUCCCUGUCUCUUAUAA
RNAcentral lists this ribosomal RNA (301 nucleotides) under uncultured bacterium. RNAcentral's name for it is "partial 16S ribosomal RNA". It matches the Rfam family "Bacterial small subunit ribosomal RNA", at positions 509 to 809 of the family's 1533-position model. The record is from RNAcentral.